UAGGGAAUCUUCCACAAUGGACGCAAGUCUGAUGGAGCAACGCCGCGUGAGUGAAGAAGGCUUUCGGGUCGUAAAACUCUGUUAUUGAAGAAGAACGUGCGUGACAGUAACUGGUCAUGCAGUGACGGUAUUCAAUCAGAAAGUCACGGCUAACUAUGUGCCAGCAGCCGCGGUAAUACGUAGGUGGCAAGCGUUGUCCGGAUUUAUUGGGCGUAAAGCGAGUGCAGGCGGUCUUUUAAGUCUGAUGUGAAAGCCUUCGGCUUAACCGAAGAAGGGCAUCGGAAACUGGGAGACUUGAGUGCAGAAGAGGAGAGUGGAACUCCAUGUGUAGCGGUGAAAUGCGUAGAUAUAUGGAAGAACACCAGUGGCGAAGGCGGCUCUCUGGUCUGUAACUGACGCUGAGGCUCGAAAAGCGUGGGUAGCAAAAC
RNAcentral lists this ribosomal RNA (428 nucleotides) under uncultured bacterium. RNAcentral describes it as "partial 16S ribosomal RNA". It matches the Rfam family "Bacterial small subunit ribosomal RNA", at positions 355 to 774 of the family's 1533-position model. The record is from RNAcentral.